This 398-nucleotide ribosomal RNA is filed under the name uncultured Acetivibrio sp. Its description in RNAcentral is "bacterial SSU rRNA". It matches the Rfam family "Bacterial small subunit ribosomal RNA", at positions 355 to 767 of the family's 1533-position model. Lineage: Bacteria; Bacillati; Bacillota; Clostridia; Acetivibrionales; Acetivibrionaceae. The record is from RNAcentral.
UCGGGAAUAUUGCGGCAAUGGAGGAAACUCUGACGCAGUGACGCCGCGUGCAGGAAGAAGGUUUUUCGGAUUGUAAACUGCUUUAGACAGGGAAGAAACAAGACAGUACCUGUAGAAUAAGCUCCGGCUAACUACGUGCCAGCAGCCGCGGUAAUACGUAGGGAGCAAGCGUUAUCCGGAUUUAUUGGGUGUAAAGGGUGCGUAGACGGAGAUACAAGUUGGUUGUGAAAUCCCUCGGCUCAACUGAGGAACUGCAACCAAAACUAUAUCCCUUGAGUGCUGGAGGGGAAAGUGGAAUUCCUAGUGUAGCGGUGAAAUGCGUAGAUAUUAGGAGGAACACCAGUGGCGAAGGCGACUUUCUGGACAGUAACUGACGUUGAGGCACGAAAGCGUGGGGA